Molecule: non-coding RNA, 4372 nt
Organism: Pelodiscus sinensis (Chinese soft-shelled turtle)
Lineage: Eukaryota; Metazoa; Chordata; Testudines; Trionychidae
Source: RefSeq, a predicted model, not a curated record
CGGCAGAGGCAUGUAGUCUAGACAUACCCUAAAAGAAUUUUUCCAUUGGCAUACCAGUGCCUACACCAGAGGUUGAGUCUUCUUGACUAUGGCACUCAGUGGCUUAGAGAGUCUGAGUGAAGACUAAGAAUAUUCAUUAUAAGGUGUUUCUGAAAUCCACCUUUGUAAACACUUCGUUUCUUUUUUUCUUCUUCAUCUAUUGGGUGAAGAUAUUUUCCAGCAACACAGACAGACAAUAGUAUUACUCUCUCCAGCCCACCAGAAUAGUUGACCUAUAUUACAAAAAUGCACCAAUCAGCAGAGAAAAACCAUGUUUGAAAGAUUUACAGAAUACAUUGAUGUUCUUUUCCUGAGUCACAGAAAAGAAAAGCACAUGUAGAUUAUUAACAAAUGGAUGUCAACAAUACAGUCCUUUUCAAAGUCUGAAAGAUAACGUAAUAAUCCUUUGCAACUGUUCCUUGUCAUUCUACCAUUCAGGAAGGAGCCAGCUUUGCUUUUAUUUGUAUUUGUGCAGUGGGAAAGCCAGCUGACUUUUGCUAGUUGGAAGCAGACCUUUCCUGUUUCUUAACUCCUAAGAUUAAAAAUCCUGAGAUAAGAUUUGUUUUCAGAAAAUAUUUUCUUUGGGUUUAGCUCAGAAUCAUUGCAAUGGGGGGGAGGGUUGAAUCCUUUUCGAAAAGAGGCCUCAUCUCAGUUUAAGCAAGAGGAUAAAGUAGCAUUUGUUUAACAAGAACUGGCUUAACAUUGUUCCAUGUUAGUUUAUUCUGUGUCUUUAUAAUAGAGUGAUUUUCCUUGAAAAGUAUGCUGGAAAGCAGCCUACAGUGUCCAACCUCCCAGAGACUACCUCGUGCUCCCUUAGGGGAAGAAUGAAGUGAACAAUUUAGUUAAAUUAAAUGAUUCCUGAACAACAGAAGUUGGGACUUGAUCCAAUACCCAAUUAUGUCAAAAGGAGUCUGCCCAAUGACUUAAAUAGGAGUUGGACCAAAUUCAUAGACCAUCACCUGUUGCUUACAGUUAUAUCUGGAGUAACUCUAUUGAAGGAAGUUUGCACCCACAUAAGUGAGAAGAUGCUCACCCGCACUGAGAUGGAAGGUAAGAGAGCAAAGAUAUCCUAGCAAAGAGGAAAGGCCUGAAAGAAGGUGCUAUAAACAAGACAAAUCAGUCUCACGUUUAUAGUUCUGGGUUCUUGAGAAAAGAGUAUUUAGUGAUUUCACUGAGGUGCCGCUUGAGAAUCUUAUUUGUGAUCCUAAGCUGUUUUUGGCUUUGGUCCCAGUUGUAACUGGUAAAUGACUCUUGGAGACUGAAGAAACAUGGAAGGAGUGGGAAAGUUUAAUCGGUAUGGAAAGAUUAGCAUGGAAAUAUAGAACAUGAAUGGAAAGAAAAAGGCCCCAAAUAUGAAAGACUUAUACAGUAUAUGAAGUAAAGUUAGUAAAUCACAAAUUGAGGGAGGGAAAAUGCAGAGGGUAGAAAUCUCUCUUAGCUGCAACCAGUAUGUCAUAUAACAUGGCCUCUAAUGCACACUCACUGGUGUCUGUAAAAUAAAUUGUUUGUCAAAAAACAAUGAAUACAUUUAUAUUUCCUGUUUCUGCAUUGUAGGCUUCUUAAAUGGAUAAUAAAUAUUUAUAAUAAGACAACUGUAGAAGUGUGGAUUUCAGAUAUGCUCUUCAAUCAAAUCUCAAGGGCAAGCUGCUUAAAGAAGCAAUCACUUAUGGAGUCUGGAAAUUUAUCUCUGCAUCUCUUCCUGAGCUGUUCAUUUCAGCUUUAAUCUGUGUUGCCUUCCUCAAAUCUUUGGAAUCUCCUGGAGAGACAAAGUCACCAACAGAAGUAGACCAACAUACCCAGCAUGCAAACAUUCCUCAAACAGUAACAUCUCUGCUGGCUUGGGCAUAUGUGCUGAAUAAAUGAUGGGGCAUCCAAAAGGACAUCUUCUAUCGCAAACUGGCAUCUGAAAAAAAACCCAAAGGUCACCCAAAGUUGCCUUUCAAAGGAUGUGUGCAAGCGAGAGCUCAAAUAAAUGGACAUGGAUUUAGACAAAAGGGAAGGUCACACUUAAGACUGCAGCCUUUAGAAACAAGAGCUUAAGAAAAGUCUCUGGAGUUACGAGAGGCACUAGUCCAGCUUAGCAGAGCAGAAAAGAGCUCACAAAAGGCAGAUUCCAAAGGAUAAAAAUAUAACCUUUAAAUGUGACAGACGUGGCAGAGAUUGUCUCUUUUGAGUGGAUCUCUUCAGCCACAGCCAAAGUUGCCAUAAAACCAAGUAACUUGUUUACCUCUCAGGGGCAUAAACCCAUGGUCUCUCAAGACUGACGGAUGUCUACUACUACUACUAUACAAUCCAAAAGAUCUAGUCUUCAUUUCCUAGGCACUCAUGCCUUCCAUGUGUAUCACUGAGUUCAUCCUCUCCUACAAGGGGACUAGGUCCUGAAACAUAUUAAUGGUGCAAUUUUUUCUACUUCACUAGGAUUAACUGCACUACGUAGAAGGUUAUCUCAGUGUGCUUUUAUUAUUUUCACUUGUAAAUAGUGUGGGAUAACUUGACAUCAUACUUAAAAAUUAUGUUGAUGGUUAGUAUGGUGGUGGGGAUUUGAGGCUUUGAACACAUGUAUAACAAUAAGAUGAUCUCUGUUCCAAAGAGCUAACAUUCUAACAGAUAUAGCUGUCAGUUGUGUGUUAAUGAUAUUGCUGGUUCCAUUCCCCCUUUUCCAAACUUCAUUUAAUAUUUAAACAUCACAGAGAGGCUUCAAGUGAGAUCAGAGUCCCAUUGGGUCAGGUCACUUGGAACAUGGGCUUGAAAGAGUUUGCAGAAGCAAAACCAAAGCACAGUGAAUUCAGUGACUCACUGAAAGUGACACAAGCAGUCUGUGCCAGAGUCAGGAAUAGAAGUGAGGUCUUGUGAGGCUCAGUCUAGUGCCUGCACCACAAGCGCAUCCCUCCUUUCAUUUCCCAUUGAAGUGGUGUCGCAGGGUGGCUGGGCUCUUUAAGGAGAUAUGAGCCCCAUUCCAUCUGUGACAAAUAGGUAGUAAUGAGCAAUUUCAGGAGACAGAUGAGUUCUGUGGCCAAAAUCAGGUCUCUGGCAGCAGCUAACAGAGACCUGAGAAGCCCAAGAGUAGACCUAGCACCAGGAACACCCGGGGGCCAAUAUUCCUGCAAAGGAGCAGAGAACUGGUGGGGGAGCCCAAGAGAGAUGAGAGGUUCAAUCCUGCAAUGGAUGCAAGAAUAUUCACUAGUGUUUGUAGUUUUGCAUUCUACUGAGGGGUUCCUAAGAGAAGCUCUGGGACCAGCUACUUUGCAAAUAAGAGUGUGAUUAAAGGAGAGUUGAGGAGGAGCCCAAAGAAGACUUUUAAAAAGUUCUUUUUAAUUUAAGACUUUGCUGCUGACUCAGGUAGAGAUGCAGGAGGGAAUUUUGAAGAGACUGCUGGGGAAAGAAAGCCUACUGCUGAAGAGUUGCAGCUGGGCUUGGAUACCCAAAACAGAUGGAACUCUGAGACUGACCCAGCCCUGGCGCUGAGCAAUGUGAAUCCCCCAGAGAGAUGGAAAAUUCUAGUGAGGGGAAACUGAGGAGAGAGAACCACCCCAGGCCAGAAGGAGGCACUCAAGAGGUGGUUGGCUGGCCACAAGUAGGAAACAUUCACAUGAAGUUGGGCAGGUUUCCCCUCUGCAUUCUGCCUUAUGAAUCUAUCACGUACAGCGCAUACAAAACUUCUGUGCUAGAGAAUAUUUUGGACCCACACAUAAUCUUCUCUAGCGAUCCCACAUCAGGUAAGAGCUUAUGAGUGGGGAGGAGAUAAUUUGCUCCUUUGAACACAUUUCAGAUGGUAACAUCAGGUUCAGCAAUGUCUCAUAAGAAAUUGGGUUUAGUUUUGUUUGUCUUUGAAAGCUUAAAUUGUUAUACCAGCAUUUUUUAAUACAUUAUCGAGUUUAUAAGUUGACUUUCUGAUAUUGACCUUAGCUGAGAAACUAGGCAUUUCAAGGAGCCUUGUGCUUUGCAACUGCUUCAAAAACCCUUUCUGUGUAUUGAGUCCAGUUUCCUCAGGACUGGCAUCCUCAAAACCCUUUCCUGGAUUCUCAUCAUUACUGGCUUUAGCCAGUCUAUUUGUUGGCAGUUUCAGAAGAGAGUACAUAUGAUCCGGAGGGAGCCCCUUGUUAAAAUUUGACCACCCGUAUUGAAUGAAUACUGAAGGUUGGGAUGAUUCCCUUUCAGAUUUCCUAGUUCCCCUCUGCAAGUGCUUGGAUCCUAUGUACACUGGGCUUACCCCCAGGCAAUGGGCAGUAAUUGCAGAGAAGCCUUUUGUUAAAAUAUAAGUAGAACAUCAAUUAUACUGUGUUCAAGAAUGGAGUGACAUGUAGCCCCACAGAUGUGGCCCCUGCAGGGAAAG